RNAcentral lists this small RNA (2709 nucleotides) under Pongo abelii (Sumatran orangutan). RNAcentral's name for it is "retained intron". Lineage: Eukaryota; Metazoa; Chordata; Mammalia; Primates; Hominidae. The record is from RNAcentral.
UGAAUUCACAAGGAAUGCUCCCAAAGCACAGAGAUGUUAAAUUACUCAGUCAAGGUCACGCAGCAGUGAGUAGUGGAGCUGGAAUUUGAGCUCUAACAGUCUGCUCCAGAACUCAGGCCUUGCUGCUGGCGUCAGGCCAGGCACAGAGAGCUGAUGGAAGCAGGAGGAGCUGAUGUGAAGUUAUGCGACACACAUGGCCUUUUAGGAAUGUUCCAUUUGGCUGCUGCACUCCCAUCCACCCUGUGUACCCAUCCUCCAGAGGCGAUCACCUUGGCUGUUGGACUCUGAGGCCCGAGUGCCUUCGCACGGUGUCGAGAGCGCCAUGGACCUCUACCUCUGUGGGUUUUGUGGCUGUGGGACCUCAGUGCCUUCCUGUGCGUGGCUGGCACUCUUCGCGCCCUGUUCGCGAUGACUCGGUAGUAGAGAAGUCCCUCAAGUCCUUGAAGGACAAGAACAAGAAGCUGGAGGAAGGCGGCCCGGUGUACAGCCCCCCCGCAGCGGUGGUGGUGAAGAAGCCUCUGGGGCAGAGGGUGCUGGACGAGCUGAAGCACUACUACCACGGCUUCCGCCUGCUGUGGAUUGACGCCAAGAUCGCCGCACGCACGCUCUGGCGCAUCCUCAAUGGCCACACCCUCACCCGCCGGGAGCGCAGGCAGUUUCUCCGGAUCUGCGCUGACCUCUUCCGCCUGGUGCCAUUCCUUGUGUUCGUGGUGGUGCCGUUCAUGGAGUUUCUGCUGCCUGUUGCUGUGAAGCUCUUCCCCAACAUGUUGCCAUCCACAUUUGAGACUCAGUCACUCAAGGAGGAGAGGCUGAAGAAGGAGCUUCGGGUCAAGCUGGAGCUGGCCAAGUUCCUCCAGGACACCAUCGAGGAGAUGGCCUUGAAGAACAAGGCAGCCAAGGGCAGCGCCACCAAAGACUUCUCUGUGUUUUUCCAGAAGGUGCUGUGAUACAUCUGAGUCCCUGUGACCUCACCAGGGAGCCUUCCCUGAUUUUCUGUUUCCCCUUCGCUGUGCUCAGCAGAGUGGAGCUCCCCCAAGUGCUGGCUGGCGCUUGAGAGUUUACCCAGGAGGCUCAGUUGGGGGCCAGUGGAGUGUCAGGAGUCUGGCCCCCAUGAGCUCCCAGUGAGUUGAGCUGUGGUGGCUGCACCUCGUCAGCCUUCAGAAUUAUGGGUGUCUGUGUCUUGUCACCCUGCAGCUGUCCAGGAGCAGUAGAAUCUGACCCAUGAGGAGCCUGAGACCCUGAUGUUGUGAGGUGUGGGUGGCUUGGCCGGGCUCCUCUGCUGGGCACUGCCCUCUGGCUGGAGUCAGUCAAGAAGGUCCCAGGUCCCAGGGGCUGGUCAGAGGCCUGGACUGUGGGAGCAGUGGGGGCUGGAGAGGAGGAGCGGCCCUCGAGGUUUCCUGCGGUCAUGUGGCCAGUGAGGUGAGGAUGGGGGAGAGAGCAGGUGCCAUGGACGAGAUCCCUGAGGACUAGAUGGGGUUGACGAGUCCAGUGUCGUUGGCUUGAGGGACUUCUGCCACUUUGGAGUGAGAAGGAUGUGUCUAAAGUGCAGGAAGAGCUUAAACCAGGGACUAGAAACUCCAGCCAUGUGUGUGCGUUGUCUGUGGGGUUUUCCCGCUGCAGCACAGAGGCGAGUGGUUUCCAUGGCUGCAAAGCCAGAAAUACUUGCUGUCUGGCCUUUGACAGAAAAGACUGCCAGGCCGAGGCCUAACCACGGAGAAGUCUCUUGGGAGGAGGCGACACAGCCAUGGGGCUGCUGAGCCCCCCAAGGAGUGAGUGGUGGUUCCAGCAAGAUGUUCUAGGGGGAGCCAUGCUUUGGGAGCCUCACCCAGGAUGUUGCGCCUUGCAGAGCAGGAGGAGGAGCCCGUCCCAACCUUUCCUGGGCCACCCAGCUGCCAAGAAGGAUGUGCUUGCAGUCACCUGCAUUGGGGUGUGCUGUGUAGGGUGGCCCCCAGGAGCACACCUGAAACAGUGUCUCAGAGAUGGCAUCCUGCAUGUUACGAUUUGAGUUGGGCACCAAGUCAGGCUCGUCCUCCCUCAUCUGUCCCCUCUGCUAGGUACCCUCCUAGCCCAGCUCUUGGCAGAGACUGAGCUGGUGGCUUGUCCCUCAGGUGGGAGGAACUGCAGAGGGUCACCCAAAGGGCCCUGAGUGAUCUGCGCUAAGGGACUCUAGCUCUCCCUAAAGAGCUAGAUGGCCACCCCUCACCCAAGGCUCAGGCAGUCAUCCCUGGGAGAUGUAGGUGCACACAGGUGCGCCUCUUCCUGCCCCAGAGCAGCAGGAUCCCGGCCACUUCUGUGGCAGAGAGAGGAUCACAGGACCUGCAUGCAGCAGCCUGUGGGCCCAGACCUGUCCCCCAGCAGACAGCAGCCUCAGCUUUGCUGGCUCAGGCAGGAGAGGUCCACAGGCCAGACGCCACCUCUGCUCAGGCUAGCCCAGCACUGAAGUCAGAAGUCAAUGGUUUGAGGCCGAGCUGGGCAGAUGACUUGAGAUUGGGUAUUUGAGACCAGCCUGGCCAACAUGGUGAAACCCCAUCUCUACUAAAAUACAAAAAUUAGCUGGGUGUGGUGGCGCAGCCUGUAAUCCCAGCUACUCGGGAGGCUAAGGCAGGAGAAUCCCUUGAACCCAGGAGGUGGAGGUUGCAGUGAACCGAGAUUACACCACUGCAUUCCAGCCUGGGUGACAGAGCGAGACCCUGUCUCAAACAAAAAAAA